RNAcentral lists this ribosomal RNA (4173 nucleotides) under Triticum aestivum (bread wheat). RNAcentral's name for it is "partial small subunit ribosomal RNA". The record is from RNAcentral. Lineage: Eukaryota; Viridiplantae; Streptophyta; Magnoliopsida; Poales; Poaceae.
AUGAAGCAAGCCUUGCGACGAGCCGGCGUGGACGACCCCAUGUCAAUGAAGUUCCACUUCAUGAUGGGAUUGAAAAACGACAUCUCCAAGACCAUCUUCCUCGAGAACUACAAGUCCCUCGACGAUAACUACAUUGGUGCUCUCAAGGCGGAACAAGAACUCAUGAAGGCCAAGGCUUCUUCACCCCAAGCACACUUCUCGACGACCAAGCUCAAAGACGACGAGCAUGAGGCUAGUACCACCAAGAUGUCCAAGCCCGAUGAGCUCGAAGACGAUGCUCUCAAGUUCGACUCCACCACCAUCCCUCUUUGUGGCAUUGAUGGUGCCGAGUCCUCCACGACUCUUUUUCAAGACUGUGCGGCGACGAGUAUGACUACAGAGACCUUCAAGGACCAAGCUUUGGAGGCGAGCGACAUGGUGAUGAGCAAGGAUGAUGCUUCCAUCUUAGGAGGCGAGAGUGCUAAUGCGCCAUCUUCGGCCUUCAUCCAUGGUGACAAUGACGAGAUGGUUGAGCAUGGGAUUUUCCCUUCGACAACGGCGACGUAUGAUGACUUGAGUGACUUGUGCCACCAUAUUGAGAGUGAGAGUGACUUCACCACUAGCCACAUAUAUGAUGAGUUGCCCCAAUUCCCAUGUGAGGAGAGCCACAACCCCCACCACUUGAGUGAGAUGAGUGACUCCACCAUACGUGAGAUUGAGUGCACCUAUCUUGAGGGAGUGAGUGAACCACCACAUAGAGAGAGUGAGGCCACUUCGAUUUCUAACGACUUAACCUUUACCUCUAUUGUGUCUUCUCAUUUGGUGCUAGGUCCCUUAUAUGAUGACGUGAUGACUACGUCCUUCCUUUGGACAAGACGAUGGCCAUGGUGGAAUAUGAUGCACCCCCCACAUGGUUCCAUCAAGAUGAAGAUGACAAACGACUUGUUCUUCAACACCUCACCUACAACACAUGAGCGAUGCUCCAACGGUAACAUAGGUGAUGGUGCUUCUCUUGUCCCACUAGUGGACUAUCUUGACAUCAAUUGCUUGCAUGAUGUUGAUCCACCUAUUUCCAUGCUUCAUGCUAGUGCGACUUCUUCAUAUCAUGACUUACCAAUUUAUGAUGACUAUGAUGAUGAGCAUGUUGAGUUGCCUAGUUGUGAUGCUAUGCUCCAUAGGAUUUCUUGUGACAAUUCUUUAGGUCACAUCAUGUUUGAUAAUCCGCUUGACUUGUCAUAUGCUAUGCAUGAGAUCAACAAUAUGUCAUAUUUGCAAUCUCUUCAUAGUGACUAUGCAUAUGCCAUUAAAAUUAACCCAAUUUGCACUUAUGGCAUAGAUGUCAAGCCCAUGAUUAUUGGCAUUUGUUUUUCUUGUGAUGAUAUUGAUAUGCUCCCUUUGCAUCAAUUAUCUCAUAUGCCAUGCCAUGACCACCUAGCUUCGGAUAUGCAUUGUUUUGGAUGUUGUCCAUUUUCUCCAUAUGAUAUCCCCGCUAUUGCUCAUGAGGAGACCCCCAUAGUUUCCUCAUACAUGUUAGGAGAUUUUGAUUCAUCCUAUCCAUUGCAUGAUCCCUAUACGUGUGUGCACAAUAUGCUCCCCAUGAAUCAUAAUGAUAUUGGUGUGCCACAUACUAGUAUGCUCAAUUUGCAUCCCCAUCGUGUCAUACAUAACAACUAUUCUUUCAUGAUGGAUGACAUGUUCUUGUACCAUGCAUCAAAUUUCUUUGAGCGAUGCUUAUCUUGUGCUAACUCACGCGUGCACAUACACAUCAUGAUGGAUGAUGUGUACAUUUACCACACACACAAUUUCUUUCGUUUGUGUCUCUUUUGUGUAGGUACCCAUGAAUACUUGUCAACUUCGCAAUCCCACGAGUUGACAAAACAAGCUCUAGAGAGCAACGAUGAUUUGGGAUCCCAUGGAUUGCCUUUCCCACCGCUCACUUCGCGCAAACACUUCGCGCAUUUCUUUUACAUGGCCCUCACAUGGUUAUGGGUUGUUGUCCAUUAUAUAUCCUUUGCCCAUCUUGCCAUGUUCACUUUGCAUGAUAUGCUCAUUCCUAUGCCUUUGCCAUGCAUUUGUGACCCAUGCUUUGCAUUACACAUGACGAUUGAUUCUAGUACUUGUAUGUGUAUUUGCAAGCUUGGUGGAGAUAUCACUUGUUAUUUCCAUGUUUGCUUUAUGACCCAUGCCUAUGAUGAUACUAUGAUCUUGAUUUGUGUUCGUGCUUGCGAUAUGUCAUGUGCAUUGCUUAUGCCCAUUACUUGCUCACAUGACAUGAUUGCCAUGAUUUCCUCUAGUGUGUUGCAUCUUUGCUCCAGUAGUUUGCACGACUUGAUUACUAUGUUUGCUUGCCUUGUUGCAUCACCAAUGAUUCAUACUUGCUCAUUUCAUGCGGUUGAUGACAACUAUCUACAUGCUUUGCACAUGAUUGUGAUUGCUUCUUGUCAUUUAUCUCCAUGUGUUGCCUCUCUCAUGCUAGAUGAUUUGCCAUGUAUUGAGUGCAACAAUGCCCUUAGUCUUGAUAAUGAGUUUGCCCCCAUAGCAUUCUCACAUAUAAUUGGAGAUUUUGACAUAUUCCUUGUGAAGCAUGCUUGUCUUACCUCUUUGCACCAUAUACCUCGUGCCAUGAAUAUAGCCAUUGUUGCAUCAUAUUAUUCAUGCACUUGUGCUUCUAAUGGUUAUGUGCAAAAGAAGAGAACCAUCAUGAUGGAUGAUGUGUUUAUCUACCAUGCACAUACGUUCUUUGUUUUAUUGUGUGCAUGUGUAGGAUACUUGGACUUUGUGUCGACUUUCCCUUCACGUGAGUUGACCAUUCGAGCUCUUGAGAGUGAACCAUCUUCUACCACGACGAUUCUACAUCGCACUUGCUUGUGCUUCGGCAUUGUGAAGGACGCACAAGGACACGCCUUCAAGGUGACAUCUUACUUGAGCAUGGAUAUUACGGAUCAUCCUACUUGUGUUGCUUGCACAAUGAGACUUAUUGUUCAUCUUGGACCACUUGAUUGCACACAUGUUAGAGAUCUUGCUUCGACUUGUCAUAUUCACCGUUCCAUGCAUCAUGAUAUAUAUGCCUUGUGUGUUGCAUCCAAUCCUUGGAUUACUUGCUCCUCUCAUAUGUUUGGUUGCAACAAUGUCAUCACUUCACAUAUGCCAUGUCUCAUUGAUUGCUACAUGAUUGACUUGAUUGCCUCACACAUGAUGCACAAUUGCUCUUUCUAUUGUGUUGAGUGCCACACUAUAUUCACCACACCCCAUGCACGUUACGCUUGGAUUGCCUUGCACUUGACCCAUGUGUUUAGACAUCUCAUCUUAUUUGGUGUUGUGAAUGAUUCUUAUGCCUACCAUAGACCUUUCAUUGAGCAAUUUGUGAAUGCUUGCUAUGAACUUGAGGUAGAUGCUUAUUCUCUUGUCAAACAUAUUUGCAUCUCUACCUCACAUUUACAUGAUUGUCCCCAUGCUAUAUUUGCUUGUGCUCAAUUUAUGUGCAUAUAUACCAUGUCACAAUCCUUUGUCAAACCAUAUGCUUUGCAUGAUGACGACACUUGUUGGGUGAAUCACCACUUGAAUGCUUGGUUUUGCACUAACGCUAACCACAUUUGUUUUUCCAAGUGUUUGUUGUUUUUGCUCCUUUUGAAGGAAUCACUACACGGUGUGACAUUGAAGAGUGCACAUUUCGAGCUUCAAGAUGACAAGUACUUGGUGAACGUCCACUUCUACACGGCGAAGCCAUCUCUUUCCCAUGGUGAUUUGGUUUUCGAUCCGAGGUCGGAUCUUUCCCAAGGGAGGGGAGAUGAUGCGGAGCAUCCUAUGGACAUCACCAUGUCAAGAGUCCGUUCGGCGAGUGACACGUGCGACAUCUACUUCACAUACACAAAGGUGAAUCAUCUCCUUUACACGUGCUCACUUGACCCCUUCGAGGAUGGUAUACUACUUGACACUCCACUCGUGUGCAUGCAUAGGUAUUGUCGGAACACUACGGACGACGAGGAGGAGUGCAAGCGCCAAGGAACAACUACACCAUCCGCAAGAGGAGCAUGGAAGAGAAGGAGGAAGAAGACCCAGGACGAGCGGUACUACCGCCCACACCAAGUGGUACUACCGCUAGAGGCCCCCAAGCGGCACUACCGCCGAACUUCCGCUCUACUGCCGCUCAACCCGACAAACUCCUGUGCUCGAGCGACCCGGGUCCGGUACUAG